GGAGAGAUGGCCGAGUGGUCGAAGGCGCACGCCUGGAAAGUGUGUAGGCGGGGAACCGUCUCGAGGGUUCGAAUCCCUCUCUCUCCGCCA
RNAcentral lists this transfer RNA (90 nucleotides) under Devosia riboflavina. RNAcentral's name for it is "tRNA-Ser". It matches the Rfam family "tRNA". Rfam says of the family: Transfer RNA (tRNA) molecules are approximately 80 nucleotides in length. Lineage: Bacteria; Pseudomonadati; Pseudomonadota; Alphaproteobacteria; Hyphomicrobiales; Devosiaceae. The record is from RNAcentral. RNAcentral also lists the same sequence under 30 other names.